GCGAAGGUGGCGGAAUUGGUAGAGGCGCUAGCUUCAGGUGUUAGUGUCCUUACGGACGUGGGGGUUCAAGUCCCCCCCCUGCACCA
RNAcentral lists this transfer RNA (86 nucleotides) under Escherichia coli. RNAcentral's name for it is "tRNA-Leu". It matches the Rfam family "tRNA". Rfam says of the family: Transfer RNA (tRNA) molecules are approximately 80 nucleotides in length. Their secondary structure includes four short double-helical elements and three loops (D, anti-codon, and T loops). RNAcentral also lists the same sequence under 1 other name. Lineage: Bacteria; Pseudomonadati; Pseudomonadota; Gammaproteobacteria; Enterobacterales; Enterobacteriaceae. The record is from RNAcentral.